UGCGUAGGCGGAAUAUUAAGUCAGUGGUGAAAUCCUGCGGCUCAACCGUAGAACUGCCAUUGAUACUGAUAUUCUUGAAUUUAGUUGAGGUAGGCGGAAUGUGUAAUGUAGCGGUGAAAUGCUUAGAUAUUACACAGAACACCGAUUGCGAAGGCAGCUUACUAAGCUAUGAUUGACGCUGAGGUACGAAAGCGUGGGGAGCGAACAGGAUUAGAUACCCUGGUAGUCC
Molecule: ribosomal RNA, 229 nt
Filed under: uncultured bacterium
Lineage: Bacteria
Description: partial 16S ribosomal RNA
Rfam family: Bacterial small subunit ribosomal RNA
Source: RNAcentral